AAAGGGUUGAGGUCUUUUACAAGCUGGGGGAGUGUGAGAUGGGAGUUCUAGGAUCUCAGCUGAUGUCAUAGUUCAUCUGUACAGUAAUGGAUGAUGGUUCUUCCGUAUAUCCCAAAUAAGGAGCAUGCAUUCUAAAGGCUGAUCCAACAGGAAGGGGAGGCUGUCUGCAGGAGGCUAGAUAUGGAUAUGCUAUGUGUUUACACACCAGAACUAUAAGACUGGACUCCGUGUUAUGUGUCUUG
Pelobates cultripes (western spadefoot toad) is the source of this 242-nucleotide non-coding RNA. The record is from the annotation of a GenBank genome assembly. Lineage: Eukaryota; Metazoa; Chordata; Amphibia; Anura; Pelobatidae.